ACUGACAUGGUGGUGUUUUUAUAGAGGACUCACUGGUGGGGUGACUCUGAAGUCAUUGCCGAAGGAAAAUUGACCAUGAUUAUCCUGAAGGUGAGCUGAGAAAGAGCUGCUCCACGGUCAAGGUUGUGAACAACAAAGGAACGGUUAUCCUUUUAAGGUCUCCCUCCGAGCUUUUGCGGACAAAGACAAAUUAUUUUUUAAAAGGAGCCAGUACAGAGGCACCUGGAACAGUGAGAGUGCUUCUGCCAGGCUCCUUCCCAAGAACUACACUCAGCGCCUCAGCACCAGGCUGCCAUAGCUUUGAACUAUGAGAGCUUGAGUGAUUUGGGAGACUUCCCUGGUGGCACAGUGAUUAAGAAUCUGCCUGCCAACGCAGAGGACACCGUUUCGAGCUCUGGUCCAGGAAGAUCCCACAUGCCGCGAAGCAACUAAGCCAGUGCACCACAACUACUGAGCCUGCAUGCCGCAACUACUGAAGCCCGCGCGCCUAGAGCCCGUGCUCCGCAGCAAGAGGAGCCACCGCAAUGAGAAGUCCGCGCACCGCAGCAAAGAGUAGACCCCGCUCGCCGCAGCUGGAGAAAGUCCACGCACAGCAACAAAGACCGAAUGCAGCCAAAAAUAAAUUUUAAAAAUUAAAAAAAGAAAAAGAGCUUGAGUGAUUUUGAUGCAGCCAAAUUUGGGAACCCUAAAUCUGGUCCAUAGUCUAAACUUUUUUUUAUUUAGACAGUGUGACCCUCACCUCCCUCUCUUUUGGUUUUUCCAAACAAAAACUCACUCAGAAAAAUCUACCUGUAAAAGAGAGAACUUCUUGAAUGAACAGUUCUCUUCCAAAUGAGUACCUGAUCCCCAGUCCACCCAUAUCCCCCACAAUAACUGCAGAAGAACCUCCACAGGUUUAAAAAGCGUUGUUCUAGGGCUAGAACCCCCCACCUUUUUCAAUGGGACACUGAGUCCUAGGGAAGGAAAAUGAGUUUCUAGAAGUGGCUGCUCUCUCUGCUUCCUGCCCCUUCGUACUCUGUCUGGAGACCCCUGAGGGGAUCAGCCAUGGUUGAUGAAGGGAGAACCCCUUGAUUCCUGGCUGGUCAAGAUGACCAGUUGAUGUAAAAAUCGAUGAAGAAGAUGUUUCCACGUGUAUGGAGAGCUUUGGAAUAAAAGCACAAUGCUAAGACCAGCACUGCACCCACUCUGGAAGCCAGAGGCCCUGGGGACAGCCCAGCCCAGCUGCUUUGGAAUGUGGUAGAAGGAAGAGCAAGAGUCUGGCUUUGGAUGGCCCUGAUGCAGGAAGUAUUAUGCAUCCACAGGAGACAUAAUCAUGCCGCCUCCCCUGACCUACGAGAGCGCCGCAGCAGGACUGGAGACGGUCCUCCACUGUACACCAGUGGCUAGUCCAUCUCCAUCGGAACCCUAUGGCUGUAUGAAAAGAAAUGAAUGCAAAACACAAAGCUACCGGGAGCCGAAGCAGCUUCCACGAUGCCUUGUAAGAACUGAAAACAGUUUGGCCGCUCAACUUCCCGGCUUGAUCGAUGACAACACACACAACGAUUUCUUUUUAAUGGUCAAGAGUCAAGCGCAUCCUUGAAGUUGCCUAUUUCUGGAGCCUCAGCUGUUGCCCAAGUCCUGGGCCAUGGUUUCGCUCAGUUUGCUCAGUUUCCCUUGUGUAGUAAAUGUCUACCGGUUUUGUGCAUCCAGCACCCGUGACUGCCUCUUCUAAGGGCACCUCCAUUUUCCUCGAGACCCUCCCCUCCCCCACCCUCAGUCCCUGUGGUUUAGGUUGUGUUGGCUUCACCAGUGGUUCUAGGGAAAGACAUGUGUCUCUGUCCUGGCAUCACUGUGAUUAAUUAGUUCAGGGAUGGGUGUGUGAUUCAUUAGAGCCCAUGAAAUGCAGCCUUGGGUGUUCUUGGCAGUACUCUUAUGAAAGAGGUUGUUAUGGUUUGAACUGUGUCCUCCCCAAAAUACAUAUGUUGAAGUCCUAACUCUAAAUACCUGACAAUAUGACCCCACUGGGGCACAGGAUCGUUGCAGAGGUGAUUAGUUAAAAUGAGGUCUUACCGCAGUAAGUGGGACUCCUAAUACACUGUGACUAGCAUCCUUAUGAAAAGAGGAAAUUUGGACACAGACAGACACACACAUAGGGGAACGCCAUGUAAAGAUGAAAGACUAGGAUGAGGCUUUUACAAGCCAAAGAACACCAAAUAUUUCCAGCAAACCACCAGAAGCUGGGGGAGAGGCAUGGAACAGAUUCUUCCUCCCAGCCUUCAGAAGAAACCAACCCUGGCAACAUUUUGAUCUCAGACUUCUAGUCUCCAGAACCACGAGACAAUCAAUUCCUGUUGUUUAAGCCACUCGAUUUAUGGUACUUUGUUACGGUAGCCCUAGCAGCCUAAUACAGAGGCCCGCUCUCUUUUAUUCCCACGUACUGGGUACUUUGAAAUUUAAGCUUGGCCUGUGCUAUGUGUUCUCCCAAAAUUCCCAUGUUGGAAUCGUAACCCCGACAGAUGGUGGUAUUAGAAGGUGGGGCCUUUGGAAGGUGCCUAAGCCAUGACGGUGGAACCCUCAUGAAUGGGAUCAGCAUCCUCUAAAAGAGGCUCCAGAGAGAUCCCUAGCCCCUUCCACCACGUGAGAACACAAUGGGAAGUCUGACCUGGAAGACAUCCCUCACCCAACCAUGCUGGCACUCUGACGUCGGACUUACGGCCUCCAGAAGUAUGAGAAAUAAAUUC
Physeter macrocephalus (sperm whale) is the source of this 2720-nucleotide long non-coding RNA. RefSeq lists it as uncharacterized. Lineage: Eukaryota; Metazoa; Chordata; Mammalia; Artiodactyla; Physeteridae. The record is from RefSeq and is a predicted model, not a curated record. The transcript has 5 exons.